CACUGGGGACAAACAAAAGUAGCGUCGUCUCCACCGAACCAGUUGUCAGUGGCAACAUAUAGGAAUCGUGUACAUUUCUUCGUUUCUUCUUUGCUGUUUUCAGUGAGUGUUUUGUUUUCUCUUUGUCCUUGAUCUCGACGGCGUUGUCGUGCUUUAUUACCUUACUGAGACAUCUCUUGUGACUGUAGCCAGUGUCACGGAGGAUUUUAUAGGCGUGACGAGGUAGAUCGCCGAGAUCGAGCGUGAAAAACGCUCUGCAUUAGUAGCUCCUGUAGAAUGUCUUCUGGGAUGGCGUAUCCAUGGUCAACAAAGCCAAGGUGCAAGACAGCAUAAGAGAUCGUGUAAACGAUGUGAACUCCAAAAGAUAAUCUGGACAAAUAAAUUAUAUUGUAACUGGAGAGUGCAGUCGUGCUUGGGGCCCAUCCCAAUGUCAUCACAUGGCUGUGGUGACUAGUGUAUACCUGGGAGAAGUUUCCUCAACUGAGACGGAGUGUAGAUGGAUGGAUUAUGAGAAAUGCGAAGAUGUGGAGUUCAAGGCUAGAUGCACUUCACAUUCGGCGUGGGAUCUCGGCGUCUGGGACCUGAUAACGUCUUGGUUGGAUGGGUGAUCAAGGAUGAUACUACUCGGCACACCAAUGUACAUGUCAAUGUAGUUUUUACUUUUUCAGAGCUGCACUAUUUACGUCUUGAUGCUUACUUCGGUGCUAGUGUCGUGUCCGUGUGUUGCUACAAUGUCAUUAUCUGUAUUGUAUUCCGUCUGCUUAUACAUGUGUCUUUAUGAAGUGUUUGCCGUGGCGGCGAUGUGUCUUGUCGAUCAAUAGUGUUGUGAAACCUAUCACUAUUCUUGCUUUGCUGGCUACUCGCUCGCUCCGCGCCGUGCACGCUACUAGGUCUUGUAGUAUAUAGCUCGAUGCUUUGCAUCGAUCGCUGGUUGUUGUUCUUGUUGCUUCUCUGUUGUUUGAGCUUGGUCCUAGAGUGAAGCUUUG
Molecule: long non-coding RNA, 986 nt
Organism: Sycon ciliatum
Lineage: Eukaryota; Metazoa; Porifera; Calcarea; Leucosolenida; Sycettidae
Exons: 3
Source: RefSeq, a predicted model, not a curated record